GACGAACGCUGGCGGCGUGCUUAACACAUGCAAGUCGAACGGAAAGGCCCUGCUUUUGUGGGGUGCUCGAGUGGCGAACGGGUGAGUAACACGUGAGUAACCUGCCCUUGACUUUGGGAUAACUUCAGGAAACUGGGGCUAAUACCGGAUAGGAGCUCCUGCUGCAUGGUGGGGGUUGGAAAGUUUCGGCGGUUGGGGAUGGACUCGCGGCUUAUCAGCUUGUUGGUGGGGUAGUGACUUACCAAGGCUUUGACGGGUAGCCGGCCUGAGAGGGUGACCGGCCACACUGGGACUGAGGUACGGCACAGACUCCUACGGGAGGCAGCAGUGGGGAAUAUUGCACAAUGGGCGGAAGCCUGAUGCAGCAACGCCGCGUGCGGGAUGACGGCCUUCGGGUUGUAAACCGCUUGCGCCUGUGACGAAGCGUGAGUGACGGUAAUGGGUAAAGAAGCACCGGGUAACUACGUG
RNAcentral lists this ribosomal RNA (468 nucleotides) under uncultured bacterium. RNAcentral's name for it is "partial 16S ribosomal RNA". It matches the Rfam family "Bacterial small subunit ribosomal RNA", at positions 28 to 507 of the family's 1533-position model. The record is from RNAcentral.